Molecule: ribosomal RNA, 104 nt
Filed under: uncultured bacterium
Lineage: Bacteria
Description: partial 16S ribosomal RNA
Rfam family: Bacterial small subunit ribosomal RNA
Source: RNAcentral
CCUUGUACACACCGCCCGUCACACCACGAAAGUGGCCCCAACCAGAAGCAGGUGCGCUAACCUUCGGGAGGUAGCCUGCCAAGGUUGAGGCCGUGAUUGGGGUG